This 253-nucleotide ribosomal RNA is filed under the name uncultured bacterium. RNAcentral's name for it is "partial 16S ribosomal RNA". It matches the Rfam family "Bacterial small subunit ribosomal RNA", at positions 524 to 776 of the family's 1533-position model. The record is from RNAcentral.
UACGGGGGGGGCAAGCGUUGUUCGGAAUUACUGGGCGUAAAGGGCUCGUAGGCGGCCAACUAAGUCAAACGUGAAAUCCCUCGGCUUAACCGGGGAACUGCGCUUGAUACUGGAUGGCUUGAGAUUGGGAGAGGGAUGCGGAAUUCCAGGUGUAGCGGUGAAAUGCGUAGAUAUCCGGAGGAACACCGGUGGCGAAGGCGGCUUCCUGGACCGACACUGACGCUGAGGCGCGAAAGCUAGGGGAGCAAACGGG